AAGGUAACGUCGAGAAUCGGGGAUAUUAACCCCAACCUUUUCUUCCCAAUUGAAAGUGCUUUACAACCCGCAGGCCUUCUUCACACACGCGGUAUUGCUGGAUCAGGGUUGCCCCCAUUGUCCAAUAUUCCCC
RNAcentral lists this ribosomal RNA (133 nucleotides) under uncultured bacterium. RNAcentral describes it as "partial 16S ribosomal RNA". The record is from RNAcentral.